UGCACCACCACUGCCUGCCAUAGUCCAGUCAUUAUUUAUCGUCUGCUUCUCCUUUGCAGGAGAGGCCGGUGAGAGCAAGGUCUGCCUGGGUCUGCUGUGGUGCUGGUGCCCAUCAGAAUCAAUGCCUGGGGAUGAAUCGGUGAAGGGGAAUGAAUUUGUUGGAUGAAUCAGUGAAGGGGAAUCCUGUGGCCGACUCACCAAGAGGAUCUCCACAAAGUGGAGAAGCCUCUAGAGAAGGCUGAGCCAGGCAUUUGGCAGGCAGACGUCCCUCACACAGGAUCAAGGGACCACAAGCCAGACAUGGCCUCUGUCCUGAGGGGAGAGGGAUGAUGGGCCGUCAACUACCGUGCGCUGCAAUAGGGCUGGGGGCCCAGGAGGGGGCACUCCACCCAAAUGAGGCGGUUGGGAAGGCUUUGUGGGGAGCAACAUUUUUCCUCCAUUAUCUGCAUUCUAGAAAAAAGGCACCAUUUGCACGGAGCUCUGAGGUGGCAAAGAGAGGACCCUGGAGAAUGAGAAGCGCAGGUGACUCUGCCUGGCAGGGGGCAGGGGCUGAGGUGCAGUCAGAGAGUCAAUGGGCCAAGCAGGUGUGACACUACCAGGUCCCGGGGAGCUUCCCGGCCACUUCUCUGGUGCCUGGCGAUGAGACUGGGCCUGCCAGGGGCAAGGAGACCUCGGGGUUGGCUCCAACUCAGAGCAGAGGAAGGACAGAGGCAGUGCACCACCAUCUUCUUCGCCCCCAUCCACACCUUCCAACAGUUGCCAACAGCAGCCUGGGAGUCUGUAGAGGUAAUCCAGAGCCACGUUAAGCAUAUGGCAAGCCGUGCACUGGCUGUGUCGCCUCCUUCAAGCUCAGUGCCUGCCUCCUGUUUUCUGGUAUCUGGGAAGACACAAAUGCUGCUUAGAGUCAAACCUCAGGAGAUGUGUGAAGCAUGUAAAAGUCAAAGAUAAACAGGCCUGCUUUGCCCUUGGACACAUAAGCUGGAUUUUCUGCAGUAAUCCAGGGCCUUCACCAAAAAAGCCAAGAGCAAGAAAACCUUCCAGCACAAUCCAUAACAACACCCCCCCUCCCGGCCCCAAAACAGCGAGUCUGGCAGUCGAGGCAACUGACAGCCACAACUCGGGCAGAGUUUCAGCAAGUGCUCCCUCCUCCCAGACGCUGCCAGCACAGCUCGGUUUUGAUCCACAAACAUUCCAAGUUUUGACUCCAGCUCCAUAUAGCUCUGCUAAUACCCAUCAGCCCGCAGACAAAAUCUUUUAUUUCCUAGUAAGCCUGGAAUAAAAAAGAUGAAUUCGCAGGGGAUUUAGGAGGCAA
RNAcentral lists this long non-coding RNA (1312 nucleotides) under Rhinopithecus bieti (black snub-nosed monkey). RNAcentral's name for it is "lncRNA (ENSRBIG00000045669.1)". Lineage: Eukaryota; Metazoa; Chordata; Mammalia; Primates; Cercopithecidae. The record is from RNAcentral.